GCCGGUUUAGUAUAAAGAGUAUGGGAGAUUGUAGAUCUUACGGUGGUUUCGUUGCCAGCCGGGA
RNAcentral lists this transfer RNA (64 nucleotides) under Tanaisia sp. SS-2020. RNAcentral describes it as "tRNA-Tyr". The record is from RNAcentral. Lineage: Eukaryota; Metazoa; Platyhelminthes; Trematoda; Plagiorchiida; Eucotylidae.